RNAcentral lists this ribosomal RNA (494 nucleotides) under uncultured bacterium. Its description in RNAcentral is "partial 16S ribosomal RNA". It matches the Rfam family "Bacterial small subunit ribosomal RNA", at positions 28 to 507 of the family's 1533-position model. The record is from RNAcentral.
GACGAACGCUGGCGGCGUGCUUAACACAUGCAAGUCGAACGGUGAAGCGCCUUCCUUUUUGGUGGGUGUGGAUGAGUGGCGAACGGUUGAGUAACACGUGCGUAACCUUCCCCCUUCUUCUGGAUAACCGCAUGAAAGUGUGGCUAAUACGGGAUAUUCUGGUUCUUUCGCAUGAUUGGUCAGGGUAAGAUAUUGUGUCUGUGGUGGCUGGGCUGGCGGCGUAUCAUCUUGUUGUGGGGGUGAUGGCCUACCAAGGCGGGGAGGUGUAGACGGCCUGGGAGGGUGGACGGCCAUAAGGGGAGUGCGACACGGCCGAGACUGAGAUGGGAGGCAGAAGUGGGGAAUAUGGAACAAUGGGCGAAAGUCUGAUGCAGCGACGCGGCGUGAGCGAUGGAGGCCUGCGGGUUGUGAAGCUCUUUCGGUAGUGAAGCAGGCCUGCCUGGUUUGUGGGUGGGUUGACGGUAGCUGGAUAAGAAGCGCCGGCUAACUACGUG